RNAcentral lists this long non-coding RNA (199 nucleotides) under Panax ginseng (ginseng). Its description in RNAcentral is "long non-coding RNA (PGIN_LNC008819)". The record is from RNAcentral. Lineage: Eukaryota; Viridiplantae; Streptophyta; Magnoliopsida; Apiales; Araliaceae.
UUAUUUCUUCUUCUUUUUUAAAAUUUGUACAUAUUGCCUGACCUGUUCUGAUUUUUUUAUUAAGAAACUGAGAAAUUCUACAUGUAAAUUGUUGUUAUAGAUUCUAUAGCGAUGAUUUUUACCAUCGUUAUACAUUUAUAACGAUACUUUUCAUGUGAAAAUAUCAAAAAUUAUUGUGAAAAUAUCAAUUUUCUUUUUA